CUCGUAGGCGGUUCGUCGCGUCCGGUGUGAAAGUCCAUCGCUUAACGGUGGAUCCGCGCCGGGUACGGGCGGGCUUGAGUGCGGUAGGGGAGACUGGAAUUUCCGGUGUAACGGUGGAAUGUGUAGAUAUCGGGAAGAACACCAAUGGCGAAGACAGGUCUCUGGCCGUCACUGACGCUGAGGAGCGAAAGCGUGGGGAGCGAACA
RNAcentral lists this ribosomal RNA (206 nucleotides) under uncultured bacterium. Its description in RNAcentral is "partial 16S ribosomal RNA". It matches the Rfam family "Bacterial small subunit ribosomal RNA", at positions 568 to 774 of the family's 1533-position model. The record is from RNAcentral.